This 253-nucleotide ribosomal RNA is filed under the name uncultured bacterium. RNAcentral's name for it is "partial 16S ribosomal RNA". It matches the Rfam family "Bacterial small subunit ribosomal RNA", at positions 524 to 776 of the family's 1533-position model. The record is from RNAcentral.
UACGGAGGGUGCAAGCGUUGUCCGGAAUCACUGGGUGUAAAGGGUGUGUAGGCGGAACGAUAAGUCUAGGGUGAAAGCCCGCAGCUCAACUGCGGAACUGCCCUUGAUACUGUCGAUCUUGAGUCCCGGAGGGGUGGCUGGAAUUCGUGGUGUAGCGGUGAAAUGCGUAGAUAUCACGAGGAACACCUAAGGCGUAGGCAGGUCACUGGACGGGUACUGACGCUGAGGCACGAAAGUGUGGGGAGCAAACAGG